AUUCACGUACAAAUCGAAAUAAAUCAGUUCAUCAAAAUUCACUAAAAUCAACCAAAACUAAUAAAAACAACUGAUAUCUUUCAAUAUCAAAUCCGAUAUAAAAAAUUAUCUUUAAGUAUAUCGUAUUUUAAUAUAACUAAAACGUAUUGAUUGAUACUAUCAAUACCAAAAUAAAAUUAACGGUUAUGAUAUGAACGUUAUAAAAUUUAAUUUUUGUGAUUUUGUCUUCUCUUUUAAUCUUAUCAAUGAAAAAUGAUUAAAUUAUAUUAUUUAUAUUUUCUUUUAUUGUCACAAUAAUAUAUAAUUAUGCAAACUUUACAAAAAGAACGAAGCUUUCUCAUGACCUAAAACACCAUGCCCUUUUCUCCGUUCAUAAUUAUGAUAUGAUAUCCUCCAAACAAUUGGACUAAUAACUCUCCCAUUGAAAAUCCUUAACAGGUCACAACUUGCAUCUUCACAUUUUCUUUAAGCAACAUAAAUAUAUAUAUUUAUAUAUAUAUAUAUAAAAUAAAUUCUUAAUAACUUGUUUGUCUUCUUAAACCUAACUCUAUUUAAGGAUGGCGACUGCCCUCCAUCCACCCGUUUUGUGGCUGCCCUCCUUGUAUAGUUAAAGUCAACCAAUUAACGUAAUCAACCAAACCUUCUUUUAUGCAUUACGCACUCCAGUAAAAUAAUAAAAUCACUUUGUUUUAUAUUAUAAAAUUAUUAUUUUGUUAAGUAUCUUUAAGCAUACUUUAUAGCUAACACAUGCGUUGAGCAUUCCCUGUCAAGGGUUGAUCUCAUAUGCAGAAAUGCCAAUGAAAUCUCCUAAUGAAACAGGCUUUUAAAACAAGUGAGGUAGCUCAUACCCAAUGGAGGUUUGUUAGGGUUGGAUGAUUAAAGCCUUGAAGGGUAGCUCAGUCUUUUGAAGAGGAAAACAAGUGAAUGGCAGUUAAAUAUGAUAAUUUAAAAUAUAAU
Molecule: long non-coding RNA, 957 nt
Filed under: Durio zibethinus
Lineage: Eukaryota; Viridiplantae; Streptophyta; Magnoliopsida; Malvales; Malvaceae
Description: long non-coding RNA (DZIB_LNC000059)
Source: RNAcentral